Molecule: transfer RNA, 88 nt
Filed under: Owenweeksia sp. TMED14
Lineage: Bacteria; Pseudomonadati; Bacteroidota; Flavobacteriia; Flavobacteriales; Owenweeksiaceae
Description: tRNA-Ser(gct)
Rfam family: tRNA
About the family: Transfer RNA (tRNA) molecules are approximately 80 nucleotides in length. Their secondary structure includes four short double-helical elements and three loops (D, anti-codon, and T loops).
Source: RNAcentral
GGUGAGAUGGGUGAGAGGCUUAAACCACCAGUUUGCUAAACUGGCGUACGGGCAACCGUACCGCGGGUUCGAAUCCCGCUCUCACCGC